Molecule: ribosomal RNA, 569 nt
Filed under: uncultured bacterium
Lineage: Bacteria
Description: bacterial SSU rRNA
Rfam family: Bacterial small subunit ribosomal RNA
Source: RNAcentral
GGCAGUGGUUUUUUAUUUUUGAAACGGCGAAGAAACCUUCCUUNUUCUUGACAUCUUCAGAAGCCAGCGGAGACGCAGGGUGUGCCUUCGGGNACUGUAAGACAGGUGCUGCAUGGCUGUCGUCAGCUCGUGUUGUGAAAUGUUGGGUUAAGUCCCGCAACGAGCGCAACCCUUAUCCUUGUUUGCCAGCACUUCGGGUGGGAACUCCAGGGAGACUGCCGGUGAUAAACCGGAGGAAGGUGGGGACGACGUCAAGUCAUCAUGGCCCUUACGAGUAGGGCUACACACGUGCUACAAUGGCGCAUACAGAGGGCGGCCAACUUGCGAAAGUGAGCGAAUCCCAAAAAGUGCGUCGUAGUCCGGAUUGGAGUCUGCAACUCGACUCCAUGAAGUCGGAAUCGCUAGUAAUCGUGGAUCAGAAUGCCACGGUGAAUACGUUCCCGGGCCUUGUACACACCGCCCGCCACACCAUGGGAGUGGGCUGCAAAAGAAGUGGGUAGUUUAACCUUCGGGAGGACGCUCACCACUUUGUGGUUCAUGACUGGGGUGAAGUCGUAACAAGGUAACCG